GGUCCGCCAUGUUCUUCUCCGCGGCGCUCCGGGCCAAGGCGGCAGGCCUCAUCGCCCAGUGGGUAAGGAGGUUCGGAAUGAGCCCCGGCACUGCCGCCACUCUCCCCUAUUUUUCGGUGUCUCCUUUUGUGGUGGGCACACGAGAACCCUGGGCUCUGGACGACCUGCAGGCGGCGGCAAGGACACUGCGGCCUUCGUCCUCUCUCAGGGAGGCCGCUGCAGCUCCACCGCCGGCGAGGAGCUCCGAGGGAGGGUCGCAGACGUAGCUGCUGCGGGUGCGUGGCCUCCCCCACAGGACUGGGAAGUUUACGCCUAGUGUGGUCAAGGAGAGGAAGAAGGAGGGGCCGCCGGUGGUCUGUUGCUGUUUCGCCCCAGCGCGGAACGUAGGCCUGGCCUCGUCGGCCAGAUAGGUUUCUAAGAUCCCCCGCCCACGAAGGAGGCACCUUACCUUGCAUAUCAAGCCUGGUGACCUUGUUGCCGGCCUGUAGUAGCGCACUGGAAAUAGGCUCUGGCUUGCUGGUUGAAAGCUUAAAGAGCGUUUCCUUAGGGCACGGUGUUUGAUUUACUGCAGUUGUGUUUUGCAUAUCGGAAAAGUUCGAUAAAUAAUCGUGUCACAUUAACCCUAUGAAAGAACACCAUCAGAAAAACUGCACCCAGAAGGAUUUAGAACUUGAAUGGGCUUCUGAGAUCCAAGUACAUGCUCUUAUUUUAGGCAAGGACGUUGAAUCGAAACACGCAUUCAAGUUAACUUAAUGGUGAUUUCCAGGAAUGGCGAUUUUUACAGCAUUUACUGGAAGGAAGCCUUUUUUUUCCCCUAGCAGUAAAAUAGAGAGGUUGAGUCAGUUUUUAGCAGAAGAGUGGGAGAUAGUGCAUAGUAGAAUUGAAUAGGGCUUUAGAAUUGGACCUGAGUUUAGAUAGUGGCUUCACCGCCUUUUCUAGCUUUGUGACAUUGGGCUGUAAUUUCUUGCACUUAGUUUUCUUGGUCGUAAAACGGGAGGAAUAUUCCAAUUUGCAGAGUUUAGUCGUUCAAUAAACAUUUGAGGUUCGACUUCACUGCUGGGCUGCAGGAACAACGUGGAUAAUAGUGAUAAGUAACAUUUGGUGAUUACUUUUCAUGUGCCAAGCACUGUUAAAUGUUCACAUUCUGAAUCUAAUAGUUGGUACUAUUUCUUUAUAUUACGGAUAAACAGACUUAGUCCCUGUUCUUGCGGAGUUGAAACUUUAAGGUAAAUAUCGUACAGUGUUAAGAGAUAUGAAUAAAGUCAAUUUGGUUUGAAGGUGGUAUAAGAUUUUUUCUAGAGGCAAUACUAACAUCGGUGAGGAGAUAUUCUAGAUGGAAAGGACAACAUCAGAAAAAACUAUUGAUAGUUGGCAAGAAAAAACUUGGUGCCUAUAGGAAGCCUCAAGCAGUGUUGCUGGACUCCAUUGUUGGAAGUAAGGUGAAUCCAGAGAUGAAAUAAGAGGUGGAUAGGGCCCAGGUGUUGGAGCUCCUUGCAUGCCGUGCCAUAGAAUUUGGCUUUAUGUUGGAAGCAGUGUGGAGUCAGUGAAGGAUUUUAGAGAAGCAGAGGGUCAUGGCCAGGUUUCCCCGUAUUGGAUAGAUGACUGGAUGGAGUGAGGGAAUACAUUUGCCAGGAGCCAGAGGCAGGGAGGUGAAAUAGAUAAACAGGCUCUUGCAGAACCCCAGGUGAGAGGUGAUGAAGUAGACCUUGUCUACUAGUAGAAAGGCUAGAAUUAAGAGUACAGAUAGAUUUUCUCCAGGUUUUGAGGGAAAGGGCUAUAGGUGAAAAUUGAAGAAUAUCUUCAGGUAGUGGAAGAAAUUUCAAUCAAAUUUUAUGUUUCUGCAACAGUUUUUUAUUUGUACAAAUAUUACCUGGCAUGUAGUAUGUGCACAAUAAAUAUUUGUUGACUUGAUGAAUCAGUAAGUUUUUCUUUUUUUCCCCAGUUUUACUGAACAAUAAUUGACACAUCUCUGUGUAAGUUUAAGGUGUAUAGCCUGAUGAUUUGAUUUAUGUUUGAUUUCAUUACACAAGUAAUACAUCGUAGGGAAAACAUGAUUUUGGGAACAGCAAACAGAAUAAGCUCAAAAAAUAAAAAUUACCCAUAAUCUCAUCAACCUGGAAAUAACCAAAAUGUGAACAUUUUUGUGUCUAGAAUUGAGAGACCUUACAGUAAAAAUUGAUGGUAUUGUUCACAUUGUUAUGUAGCCUGUUUUUUUCCCAUAAAAACAUUGUUGAUCCACUUUCCUUACCAGUAGACAUUUCUAUACUGUCAUUUUUUUUUUAAUGUUUGUUUAUUUUUGAGACAGAGAGAGACAGAGCAUGAACAGGAGAGGAGCAGAGAGAGGGAGACACAGAAUCCGAAACAGGCUCCAGGCUCCGAGCUGUCAGCACAGAGCCCGAUGCGGGGCUCGAACUCACAGACCGUGAGAUCCUGACCUGAGCCAAAGUCGGCCGCUUAACCAAGUGAGCCACCCAGGCGCCCCUAUACUGUCAUUUUUAAUGCUGCAUAGCAUUCCAUUGUGAGGAUGUUCUAUAACUUAUAUAACCAGGUCCUUUUCCAAAUAGUGUAAUAUCAGAAUGACCUAGGAAAUGUGUGAGUAAAGAGGUGCCUUUUAAUAAAGGUUGUUUCUUAAAAAAGAAACCAUUAAGGAAACUCUUUACAUUUUCAAAGAAAUUGCUUAUUGUUACAAUUUCUGCUGCAUUAAUUUCUUCAGCCACAGACUUGAGUUCAUCAUUGAUUUAAAAAUACCCAUAACAGUACUGUCUAGAAGUGCCUACAAGACCAUAGUUGUGUGACCAUGAAUCAUAUUUCUUAAUCUCUUGAAGUCUUCUGUAAAAAGUACAGUAACACUUUGAUUAUCAAGAAUUGCCUAAAAAAUGUGAAUUAUGGAGUAGUAAAUAGUCAGAAUAGGCUUAUUCUCUUCAGUAAUUUUCCAUGGCUUUUGAGUUGUUGACACCACUUUGGAGCUCAUCGCUGCUUCAUUUCCAAGCCACCACUUCAGUAGGAGUGAGUGGCAUUUUCAAGGAUUGUAUUUUCAGUUUUAGAAAUUUUUUUUCAAUUUCAGAAUUUUCAUUUGGUUCUUUUUUAUAGUGUCUAUUCGAUUUUUUUGUUCAUUGAAGUGUUUUUUUUUUUCAAACAUGGGUGUAACAGUUUUGAAAUUGUUGUGUGGUAAUCUCCAUUUACUGCCUUCUCUUUUAAAAAUGGGCUGUUGAGUAAUUUUGAAUUGUAUCCUGGACAUUGUGAACAAUAAAUCAUAGAGACUCUCAAUUUUUCUAAUUUCUCCAUAAGUGUUUGUUGUGCAGGCUGUUAACUCAAUUGAACUUGAACUAUAAUCCAGCUCCCUUGUAGGCAGCACCUCAAAUACUGGUUCAGUUCUUUUAGCUGGGCUGCCUGGAGUUGGCCCCAUGUGCAUGCAGGCCUUGGGGUCAGCCAACGGAAUGGGGCUUCUCUCUGGCUUACUUUUCUGGGAUUUCGCACUUUCCCAUGCCUGUUGUCCCAUACUGUUCUGUGGGUCUUCAAGUCAUUAAGACUGCAGGUUUUCUCUUUUGGUUUUAGUUGCCCAGCACAGGCCUGUGGGCCUGCUUUUAGGCUAAAAGAUAUAGAGUGUAAAGCAAAAAAACCUUCAUUGGCUUCUUCUAAGUAUAGACUCCCUUUGGUGUCUUCCUGCACUUGGUUGUUUUCCAGUGCCUUCAGAAAGUGUUUUGGUUUUUUAAAAAUAAUUUGCCCAGUGUUUAUAGUUGUUAGUGGUUUGGCCUGAUAACAUCUACUCAGCCACUCUAGAAGUAGAACCUCCUUCUACUAGUGGCAUUUUUCUUUCUAAACUUUAAGUUUUGUAGAAUGGACUGUUUUCUCAUUUCAUUAGAGAUCAUUAAACCUGAUUUUGCAGUGUCCCAGGGUAUCUCCAUUUUGACUCAAGGACUCUAAAGGAGUUCUUUAACAACAACAACAAAAAAGGCAUUUGUAUUAGUGUUUUUAUUGCUACUAUUACAAAUUACCAUAAACUUAGUGACAUAACACAGAUUUAUUGUCUUAUGAUUGUGUAAAUUAAAAGUUUGACAUGGAUCUCACUGGGCUAAAAUCAAGGUGUUGGCAGAGCUAUUGGAAUACUGUAGGGGACAAGCCAUUAUUUUGACUUUUCUAGCUCCUAGAAAAAGCUGCCCUUAUUUGUUGGCUCAUGGCUCCUUUCUUCCAUCUUCAAAGCCAGCAAAGGCAGGUUAAGCUGUUGCAUCAGUGACCCUGCUUCCAUCAUUUGUGACAUAUCCUUCUCUAACUUUGUUCCCUCUUUCACAUUUAAAGGGCCCUGAUAAUCCAGAAUAGGAAUCUCCCUAUUUUUAGGUCAACUAAUUAGUAAUCUUAAUUCCAUCUGCAACCAUAUUUCUCUCUUGCUAUGCAUACUAAUACAUUCACAGCUUUCCAGGAUUAGGAAAUGGGUAUUUGGGGGGCACUAUUACUCUGCCUGCCAUGGCCUUAAACACUUCAGGGGAAAGAGAAAAUAGGCAAAAUUUUUGUUUAUUCAGUGAGGUUUAAUAGACCACUACUGCAUACUACAAAUUCAGAUCUUUUAUAUUGGAGAUGUAAACUCAGUCUCCAUUUCAAAGAUAUAAAUAGCUGUACUUCCCUUAUCUUUGCAUACUGUUUAAUAACAGCUCAGUACAUUGGGUAAUAAAUAAUAGGUUCAUUGACCAUGUCAGUCUGGUUUUCCAUUGAGAAACCUUGACUCACCCACUACUUUUUGAGUCAGAUCAGGAAACCUGUUAUAAAUUGGUUGCAGGAGAUUUUUUUCAUUCAACAAGCACUAAAGAUUUAACAUUUAAACACACUUUUUCUUUGCCUUGUUGGUGGAGAGGGAAAAUGCCUUAUACGUGGGAUACUUUUCUGGGUGUUAUCCCAUUUUGUACAUGAGACAGCUGAUGAUUUCCAGACAAAUAUGCCCCAAAUUACACAGUAGUAGGAGCCUGAACUGGGUUUGUUUGCAAGUCCUAUUUUUUGUUUCUUCUUUUAAAUUUAUUUUUCUUAAGUUGCUCAAAUUUACCAAGGGAAAUUGGCGUGUUUGGUGAAGAUUUAAGUUUUAUAGAUGCUAUAAUAGUAGAAUAGUUUGUCAGUGUGAUCAGAAACCAGGGGUGAUUUCACUGUACUUAAAGGAAGAGAGUGGAGGGGAUAAGAAGAACAGGUUAACUUUGGUCAUGAUGGGUGCAAUUUUGUUCCUAAGGAGAUACCAUGAUAGUUCCUUAUCAUCACUGACUAAAAUAUUCCUUAAUAUCCCUCAGUACUUCCAGAGAUUCUGGGUUGGAAAAGAUAGCCUAGCAUUUCUUGUUCUUGGCAUCCUUAAAUUUUGAAGACCAUUCAGAAAAUCCAUCAUCUGCAUGUUAGGAUAUAGAUGCCAUAUACUCUAAAGCAGUAAAUCCCAAACUUGAUUAAAGGAAUCGUCUCUAUACUCUGUCUCUCUGUCUCAAAAAUAAAUAAACGUUAAAAAAAAAAAAAAAAAAGAAUCGUCUAUGAUGCUUUAAAAAUAAACAUACUUGUGGCACCUGCAUGCUCAGUCAGUUAAGCGUCCAACUUGAUUUCGGCUCAGGUCAUGAUCUCAAGGUUCAAGAAUUGGAGCCCCAUAUUGGGCUCUGUGCUGACAGUGUGGAGCCUGCUUGAGAUUCUCUCUCCCUGUCUGUCUCUCUCUGCUCUUCUGCUUGCUCUCAAUCUCUUUCUCUAAAAUAAAUAAAUACACCUACUUUGGGGGCACCUGGGUAGCUCAGUUGGUUGAGUAUCCGUCAUUGGUUCACGUCAAGAUCUCAUGGUCAUGAGAUGGAGCCCUGUGUGGAGUCUGCUUGGGACUCUGUCUGCCUCUCUCUCUGCCCCUCCACUGCUCUCAUGCAUGCACUUGCUCUCUCAAAAUAAAUAAAUAAAAGUGUAAAAAAAAAAAAAAAUACAUACUUGAGCUCCACCCGGUCAUAGGUUUACUAAAUUUUAAACAAUAUAUGCUUGUCUGAGUAUUAGUCCCUAAGACUAGAAAAUAAGACAACUUAUAUUUACAGAGCAUUUGUUCAUGUUUAUUUGAUUUUCAAAUUAAACAAAAAAAAAUUGUGCUUAGGUUUUACCAAUUCUUUUUUUUUUAAUGUUUAUUUAUUUUGAGAGAGAGAAGGAGAGAGGGCAGAGAGAGGGGGAGAGAGAGAAUCCCAAGCAGGUCUGAGCUGUCCGCACAAAGCUGGACAGGGGCCCCUAACUUGCGAACCAUUGAGAUCAUGACCUGAGCCGAAAUCAAGAGUUGUACGCUUAACCGACUGAGCCACCUAGGCACCCCCUUACCAGUUAAUUCUUUAGGCCCAAAGCUCUUCAAAUCACUUAACCUUUUGAAAAUGAAUGUUUGCUCCUACAGUCAACUUGUAAUUAUUUAGGGUCUUAUUUGUUUUUGUAAUUAUUGAGGCCUAUAGCUUGGCCAUUUUAUUUCCUUCAUUUUAAUGGAGCACAAGAAGAAAAGAUAAUGGGAAAUUGGGAGUGUUACUGUUUAAUUAAAGUUCCAGUAAUAAUAAUAAUGAUAAUAAUGAUAGUGGCCAGUACACGAGUACUUAUAAUGAUACUUUGCUAAAUAUUUCAUCUCAUUUCAUCUUUAACAGUUUAAGAUAGGUAUUGCUGUGAUUUUAUAGGUAAGCACGCUUAGUUAUGGAGAGGUAGAGUGACUUGCCCAAAGUUACCAUACUAGAAUUGGCAAAGGUGUGACUGAACCUAGGUCUGCUGGCUAAAAUGAUACUUGGAUAUUUCAUUUCUAGGAAGUAUCCCUAUUGUUAGAAUAUUUGAGUGUUGCUUAUAUCCACAUUGGAUUUUACAUGUUUAAAGAGUGCUUUGUUUAAUUUAUGGUCAGGAUAGAUAGUAUUGUUGCUAUUGAUAUGGUUAUUUUAAUCUGUAAUGCUCCUGUAAUACCUGGGCUUUUUGGGUAGCUUUUCUGUUACAUAAUUUGGCCAAAUUUUGCUUGUUAAUUCUCUUAUACAGUGCUAGAAAAAUCUGAUUUCUUUAAUCUGAAUUAACAUUUUUAAAUUAUUGAUGGAAUUUUAUUUGGAAGACAUUUGUAAGAGCCCUCCCAUGUAUAGUUGAAAAUAUUAACAAAACUUAAUUUUAGUAGUCAGGAAAACUUAUGUUUGGCUUUUCAUUUAUUUAGCUGUGUGAUCUAGGAAAAGUUUUUUCUUUUGUUCUUUGCACCUUAGUUUCCACAUCUGUAAAACUGGGGAUGAUAAUAAUACCUAUAUGGUAGGGGUUGCUGGGAGAAGUAAAUGAAUUACAGCAUUUGUGAAGUUUGUAGCACGUAUUUGAUGCAGAGUUAGCACUUGUAUUUAUUAUCACUAUCCUUGAAAUAGAUUUCACAGUUACUAUUAGCUCAUCCAUCAUCUACUUUAUUAAACCCAAAUGGAUUGAAAACUUUAAAAUGUAGGGAAUUCCUACUCUGAGUAUAUUAUAUAUAAAGCUCUUGGGAGCUUUUUGUUUUCUCUGCAUGUCUUUGCUCUAGACAGCUGAAAGAAAUGGCUUUUGCUUAAGCUGGCAGUGAGGGAGGCUGUAGGUAAUAGGUGAGUAGAUAAUCGGUGAACAAUGGGAAGAAAGUACAUUGGGAGCCAAUAUCACUUUCCCUUUACCAGAUGUUUCACAUGUGAGUUGUUACCCCCCCCCCCCCCGCUGGUGCACACAUAUAUUGUGGAUUUAAUCUAAAUAUUCAGGGUAGUGUGAAACGUAUAUUCCUUGCCUGAAUUGGUUGCUAAUAAAGGAAAACAUUUUUUCUAUUGCCUGACCUUAGUCCUGUCUUUCUAACUAAUUAGGUUACUGAUUCUGUCAGUUUUGUCUUGCAGCUUCCUUGUCCUUUAUUAAGUUCCUCUGGCUGGAUGUGGCCUUUUAAAGUGCAGAUGUCUGAUAGAACUGAAAAGUGAACAGAGUGGAUAUUGUUAAUGUUUGAGCAACAGGAGAAACUAAAAAGACAAAUGUAGGGCCCAUGAAAGAUUCUGUUCUUGGGGAGUGGGUGGAAGAGUGUCAAAUUUAAAUUAUUGUCAUUUUGAGCUACAAAUAGUGAUUAAAAAGGGAAGGGCUAAUCAAGCUGAGGACUUAAAUCCAAAAGGCUUGGGCUCAAACUCCAAGGCAGGUUACGGUUUCUGAGCCUAAGUUUCUUUAAAAGUAAAAAGGAAAUAAUAAUAACUAACCAUAGAUUUUUGAGGAGUCAGUGAAAAAAAGUGUGUUGAAGUAUACUUAACACAAAGCCACUUGAGUUGAAUUCAAGGAAAACACUGCCACUAUUUGCUGUAAAUCCUCUCUGUUCCUUCUUCAGAAGUGUUUCAACACUCUGAAAAAAGAAUAAGCUAGAAUCGAAGUCCACUAUUAAUUCUGAGCUAUAUGUCAAAUUAUGUUCUUGUCUAUUUUAAAAAAAGUUACUUGAAUUUUCAACUGGUGUUCACUGUAUUCAAAUGGAAUUCAUUGAAGCAUAGAUACUUCAGAGUUCAGUGAGAAGCCAGACUCUAGUCUGGUGAAAAGAGUAGACUCUAAGGGGGGAAUCUCUGCUUACUCUUCAAAUCAGUCCAGCCUCGCUAAGUCUAGUUUUAAGACCGAUAAUGGGUCCUGGAAUACCUCUUCAUUCCAAGGUGAAACUAAAAUCAAAUGGUUUAUUAACUAGUGCAAAGAUGUUAAUUCAGACUUUUCAUAUCUUACUUAUUCCUUUAUUGCAAGUGUCUGAUGUGGAUGUUAUAAUGAAUAUAAAAUAGAUGAAGCUUUUAAACAUCUCAAAAAACAGGGUAGCUUUGAAAAUGGCCACUUGCUAACUUGAUAAGGGCUAAUAUUUAUCAGUUUACCCUAUUUCACUUGGUUUAUUGUUUUAUAAACAAAUUAUCUGAGCCUUUUUUCUACUACCUUGAAGUUGGCUUCAGACAUCGAAAUUAAGUUGCUCAGAUGCUAUGCUAAUACACACACACACACAUAUUUAGGUUUUUUAUAGGAACAGAAGAGUGGCAUUUACUGUUUUUUUUUCAAAAAAGGCUUUUAAAAAAACAGUAAAUAGCUUGUUUAAAAUUUUUUUUUUUUUCCCAACGUUUAUUUAUUUUUGGGACAGAGAGAGACGGAGCAUGAACGGGGGAGGGGCAGAGAGAGAGGGAGACACAGAAUCCGAAACAGGCUCCAGGCUCUGAGCCAUCAGCCCAGAGCCUGACGCGGGGCUCGAACUCCCGGACCGCGAGAUCGUGACCUGGCUGAAGUCGGACGCUUAACCGACUGCGCCACCCAGGCGCCCCUAAAUAGCUUGUUUUAAAUAAAGAACAUACAUAUAUCCCUCAGUCUCUAAAUGGGAACGUGGUGAGCCAAUGGAGGAGGCAGGUCUUUUCAUUUCUAAUCUGUCUCCCUGUGUAUGGAUGCAUUCCUGGUUUUCUUAAACUCUUUGAUUUCCUAGAUUUACUCUGUUCUUCUAGAGCUCUGAUUUCAUCAAAUAGUUCCAUUCAAGUGGCUGAUAAUAAGGCCAUAACCUUGUAGGCAUUAGACCUAAGAUUUAAUGCUUGUUCUACCAAUAAUUAGUUAUGAGAAGUUUUCAUAACUCAUUUAAAUCUGUAUUUUCUUGAAAUACCCAUCUUGUAUGAAAGUUGUAAGAAUUAAAUGUGUAAAAAAGCUUAGUGCCUGACAUAUAGUACUACUAUAAAAAUAGCUAAUGAUAGGUAACACUAACAUAGUACUUACUAUAUGUAGGAAGCAUAUUAAGCACUUUGCAUGGAUUAUCUCUUUUAAUCAUUACAAUAAUCCUAUGAAGUAUGUACUGUUAUUCCCUUUUUACAGAAGAGGAAAGUGGCUGUGGAGUUGGGCUUUUAACCAGUUGGCUAUUGUCUCUCUGUAUGUGGUAUAUUUAUAGAAUAUUAAGUACCAGUGAUGAUCCCAAUUCCUGAGAUGUUAGAAUGUGGAAAAUGUGGCUUUUAGAAACAAUGGAAUUGAUACUUCCUGUUUGUAUUUGUCCUUUUUUCAUAUCCUGACCACCAUAAGGAAGUGGUAUUUUAACGAUUAGUUUGAUGACGUUAAGCAGGUUGAUUAGGGGAAGAGUCAGCUAGAAAGCUAUUAGAGUAAUGCACAGACCUGAAAUAAUGUCUGAAAUAGAGUGGUGAAAGUAAGAGAGAAAAAAGGACUAAAGACUUUAUUCAUUUUUAAAAGUUGAAAUGUAUAUGAAAAUAUGAAAUAUAUGAAAUAUAUACAUGGCAAAAAAUUCAAAUGGUAUGCAAGGAUAUAUAUAUUAUAGUAAGUAUAAAAUAUAUAUUAAAGAAUAGAGGUACAAGGAUAUAUAUUGUGAAUGUAUAAAAUACAUUGUGCAUAUUAAAGGGUAAAUUUCCUUCCCUACUCCACAUCCUUGAUCCCCCUCUUCAGAGACAGCCACUGUUACUGGUUUCUUUUGUAAUACCACUGUAUUCAUUCUCUCUUUUAUAAUAUUUUCUAUAUUUUGAAAAAUUAGUGGGACAUGCAGACUGGCAUAUUUGUAUAUUUUGAUUUUUCUUGUCAAGAACUGUGAAGGCUCUUGAGAUUUUACCGUAUCUGCUAGCUAACAAGUUAACCUGCCUCAGUUUAAUGGAUCUGACUGAGACUCUUGGGUCAGAGACAGGACUUUAAUACUCGGCAUAGCAGCCAGCAUAAGCUUCGUGUUAGAAUUGGUUUUCCUUCACCCUCACAUCCCAUGGGAGUGACAUGGAACAGCCUGGGCGAAUGCUGUACCUCACAACUGAGGAACCCAACCCCAGUUACAAGAGCACUUGCCCAACCUUUGCCCAAGAGGGAGAUAUUCUCUACAAAAAUCCUUGAAAAGAUAGCGUGGAAUGAAAGCUGUUAAUGGCUAGUGCCUCUGCUCAUGUGCAGAGAUGUGCAGAAAAACCCACACCCAUGAAAAAUUGUCUACCAGUACUACUGCUUCUUCCUCCUUCCACUUAGGAAAAAAAAAAAAGAUUUUUAUAUUAAUUUCAGUCAUGAGGGAGGAGAUAGUGUUUUUCAAGCAUUUAUAUUUUCACUAGAAAAAUUGAUAGUCUUAUGUGGCUAUAAAUAAUAAAAAUAAUUAUGUGGAUAUUCAGGAAGCUCUCAGUAAUCUGUCCUUUUGUGACAGUGCCUCUUGAGUUAGAGUCAGCUAACCAAGUGCAAUUUUAAAAUCUGUUUAGUUCUUAAAAUGCAGUUGUAUUUAAAUCUUCCAUUCCUCACUUAUUAAAUGUUUUAUCCCCAUAUCAGCUAAGCAGAUGUGAUAAUGCUUUAAGAGGUUAUAUAGUGCUUUCAGAGAAACUAUUAUUUGAACCUCAAAACAUUCCUGUUUUAUAUAGGUGCAGAAAUUGAGGCUUAAAAAUAUCAAGCGAUUUGUGUAAAGUCACAUGUUAGUAAGUGACAGAGUGGUGAUUUAAACCCAAAUUUAAAAAAAUUAAAAAAAAUGUUUUUUAAUCUUUAUUUUUGAGAGAGAGAGAGAGAGAGUGCGAGUGGGAGAGGAACAGAGAGAGAGGGAGACACAGAAUCUGAAGCAGGCUCCAGGCUCUGAGCUGUCAGCACAGAGCCCGACACGGGGCUUGAACUCAUGAACCGUGAGAUCAUGACCUGAGCCAAAGUCAGACGCUUAACCAACUGAGCCACCCAGGCGCCCCUAAAAAAAAUUUCUUUUUAAUCUGAAACUCCAGUGGUUUUUUUCUUUAAAGUAGCUCCUUUUUUCCUGACCUCAAUCAGUAGUCUGCUUUCAAUGAUUUGGACUUUAAAACACGUAAUUUUGGGUAGAAGUGUCUGUGUGUGUGUUUGUGUAUAAACUCAUGUGCAAAUCCAGAAUUACAGGUCAGCCAGACAGUGCCUCAAAAUAGAUUUUCCAAUAUAUAGCUACAUAGCCCCAGAUUUUCCAGUAUGUAGCUACAUAGCCCCAGAGACCAGACUGAUUUUCAAGAUUAUCUCUGCAUUUUUCUUUUCUUUUUUUUCCUCUGUAUUAUUCAUUUUAAGUAAAGUUGUGUGGCAGAUCCUGGAGUAAUGAGGAAGGGAUCAAAUAUUGACCCCAAACUGAAGCUAUUUUAACUUAGAGAUUGGUGGUGUUUAAUUUGGUAAUAUAUAGGGAAGUUGGAAAGAUAAAUAGGAUUAACGGUAGAGGUGUUAAGUUUCAUUUUAUACUUGAUGAAUGUUUUGUUUUUAGUAAGAUAUUUUGUUUGUCAAUCCAUACUGAAUAGGAAGCAUGGAAAAUGGAGAAAAAUAUAAAAAAUAGAAUAUGAAAGUAAGAGUUUCUUAUAAUCUUGUUAUAAUAAUGACAGAUAAGCACUUUAAAUUGUUAUGGCCUUCCAGUCUUUUAGUGUCUAUAUUGAAUAUAAUUGGGAUGGUAGUUUAUGCUUUUUUAUUUCAUUUAACUCUGAUGUUUUCUAGUUACGAUUGUGGCACAAAUACAUCUUUCAGUGUCAUUAUUUUUAGGAAAUAUGAUUUUUGGUAGCAACAUAAUAUGAUUUGGGGGGGGGCACCUGGGUGGCUUAGUAGGUUGAGUGUCUUGAUUUGGCUCAGGUCAUGAUACCCCCUCCUCCCCCCGCCCCCCAGCGUUGGUCUCUGUGCUGAGCAUGGAGCCUGCUUGGGAUAGUCUCUCUCUGUCUGUCUCUGUCUGUCUGUCUGUCUCUCUCUCUCUCUCUCUCUCUCUCUCACCCUCUCCCCUGCUCAUGCUCACGUGUGCAUUCUCUCAAAUAGGAAACAAAUUUUUUUAAAUAAUAUUUUUGUUGGAAUUAUUAAUAUUUAUUUAAAAGAUCUCUAUGUUGGCCUUUUUGGUGUUUGUAUUUUCCUGUAACAAUACAGAGAAUAUAUUUCUCUAUAAACUUUUAUCCUCAUUUUAUACUAUUUUUUAGGAUAAAAUUCUAAAAGUAGAAUUACUAAGUUAAAAGAUGGAAACUUUCUUUAGUCUGUCCAUAUACUAUGUCAAUUUGUUCUCCUAAAAGACUGUUACCAAUUUUUACCUAAUGUAUAAGCAUGCCCAUUCCUCCAUGUGCUCAACAGAAUUAUUAUCUUUGAAAAAAAAUCAUUGCUAAUUUGAUAGCUGCAAAUAUUCUCUCAUUUAAAAAUGCAUGUUUUAGAUUACUAGUUCAUUAAAAUUAUGUUGACAUUUCUGUUCAUGUAUACUCCUUUUUCUCAUUGGUUUAUAUGUGUUUAUGAUCUCUUCAGGCUGUUAAUAUUUUGCCAAGAAUGAUUCAAGAAUCAUCAGCAUGGAGUUCAUAGAUGAGAAUAAAUAAGCUCUUCAGGGGCAAAAGAUCUAUGGAGAACAGAACCUAGGACAGAGCUGAGCCCUGAGGACAACCUACCCUGAGGGAGUGGGUAAAGAGACAGUAAAAUAGUUCGGAAGUUAGGAAAAGAGGGGACUGGAUGCUUUCCAUUCUCUUAAGCAUUUUAAAAAUUUUUUUUAAUUAAUUUAUUUUUUUUUUUUGAGAGAGAACACAAGUGGGGGAAGGACAGGGGGAGAGAGGGAGAGAAUCUUAAGCAGGCAGCACACCCAGCUCAGAGCCUACUCCAUUUCAGAACCCUCAGGACUGUGAGAUCAUGACCUGAGCUGAAAUCAAGAGUCAAGAGUUGAUGGCUUAACUAACUGAGCCACCCAGGUGCCCCUCCAUUCUCUUAAUCCUUCCUUACUUUAUUAUGAAAUCCUUUGUUUUCCCUCCAAAUUUAGUUAAGUAAUUCACUAAUGUUACUCCGUAAAAAUUGUUCUUUGAUUUAAAAAAAUCUCAGCUAGGGGCGCCUGCGUGGCGCAGUCGGUUAAGCGUCCGACUUCAGCCAGGUCACGAUCUCGCGGUCCAUGAGUUCGAGCCCCGCGUCAGGCUCUGGGCUGAUGGCUCAGAGCCUGGAGCCUGUUUCGGAUUCUGUGUCUCCCUCUCUCUCUGCCCCUCCCCCGUUCAUGCUCCGUCUCUCUCUGUCCCAAAAAUAAAAUAAACGUUGAAAAAAAAAAUUAGAAAAAAAAAAUCUCAGCUAAAGUGACGGCAGGUUCUAUUUCCUAAACUUUAGUUUCAGUUAAUUUUUUAAAGCCUUAUGUUGAUGUUGUUUUUAACAGUAUUGCUUGGGAAUGUGACCUUGGUUUUAUGUUUAUCUAUCUCAGUUUUAUGGACAGGCAAAUUAGGGAUAUAAGCAUGACCUUGUGUGUAAUUCACAGGUUGACCCUGGAGCAGUUGAGGAGAAUUUGAAUAAAAGUAUAAGAACCUAAACUAUCUCCUUGAUUUUUUUUUUUCAAGUUGUAUGUGUUUAAGACACAAAAAAGAAUAAACACUGUGUAUCCAUUUACUGCCUAAGAAAGAAAACAAAAACAAGAGUUGAAGCCCCCUUGUAUACCAUUUAGCCAAUCAAAUUCUCCCCUUCUUCUCCCAUUACCCUGAAACUGGUAUUCACCCCUGUAUUUUAUACCUGUGUCUCACAUUCUGUACUUGGAUCUUUUGUUAAUUAAACAAGUGUUUACAUAAACAUUUCUUCAACUUCAAUAUUUGGACCUAGGAUAGUUUAAAUACAUGAUUGUGUUAUACAUCACUGCUUUUACUUCUUUUGUAUUUGCUUUCUUUGAAUUGUUCAACUCUUCGCUAGUUCCAUGCUUGAUUUAAUCCAGUGUUCUACCAUCUUUGUGAUAAGUAGAACUCAGAAAUCAGAGGAUUCCUGAAUAGUUGUUGAAUUGCUUUUGGUGGCUGUGGGGAGGGUAGGGGUGUUGUGGGGAGCAAUAGGGCAAAGAGAAAUGAAAUGCAACAGAAAGUAAUCAAAUGGAUUUCUUCUAAAACAAUUGACUAUGGUCACUGCAUAGCAUCAUAAGCAGCUCUCUGAAACUUUAUGGCUAGAGUUUGUAAACUAAUUCAGCAAAGAAUCGAAAAAGGGGGACACACUUGACUCAUUUGUGCAUAGUAUAUGACUCAUUUGUACAGAAUGAAAACAUGUUUAUUAAAGCUGGCACCCAACUUGAUUCAGACAAAAGUGAAAGGCUGUAAGUUAAUGGAACACUAACUUUCUCAAUGCAUGCCAAAAAGAGUCCAGUAGAAAGGAUACAUGACUCCAAGAGAUACGGGUUGUGGACCUAGUUCUUCCAUGGACGCAUGUGUGACCUUAGGCAAGUUAAUAACCUUUCCUUGGAUCUCCGUUUCCUUGUACUUCUGAGAUAGAGAUAGGCAGGGUGUAGCACAGUAGGCCAUAUCUCCUAAGAUCUUUUACUUAUAUAAGUUGAUUCUAUUUUUAAUUAUGGAUCUUAAAGUAUUUACUCCUGAAAAUUUAUUAAGGCUUAUGACUUACGAAACUUUCUUGAAAUUUUAGGGAAGACAUAUAAGGAAUUUACAUAAGACAGCUGUGCAAAAUGGAGCUGGAGGAGCCUUAUUUGUUGUAAGUAAUUACUCUGAUUUCUUCAGAAUGGAAAGACUUUUGGAAAUUUGGGUAAAUCUAUUGUGAUAAUCAGAAGUAUCUUAAACACCAGUGUCUUUGGUAUAUGCUGGCCAAGGUGGUGAUUUAAAUAUAGCUAAUUGAAUUCAUUACAUCUCAAAAGUUGUGUGAUUGCAGUUGAACCUCUCAAGUUUAAAUUGACACCAGGGCAACUCUGGGAAUAAGAAUGUAGAUUAUUUUUUGAUGAAAUUACUAUGAGCCCUAACAAGAUUUCUAGUCUCACUUCGGGUUCUUAAAAAUCAGUCAUAUUGGCUGAAUAAAGAUUGUAUGGCUGCAACUUGGGGAAUCCCAAAGUGGUUCCAGUUUGAAACUCACAGACUUUAGUAAUACAGUGAAUACAUUAGUGGUUGCCUUUAUAUUUUUGCUUUACAGGGUUUAACUCCAGGUAGAGGCCAGUGAACUCCCCAGCUUAGUUGUACAAGUAAAAGAGAGAUGUUUCUCCUUUCUGUGACAAGGCAUGAUUUUCAGGGAUUUUGUGUUGUUUAAAGGCAAUUUGGUGGAUUUGUAGGAUGAUUUUGAGUUAGUGGUAUAGUUUUAUUAACUGAGUUAUUUCCAGGCUGAAUCCUAGUAAGUGAGUUAGCCAUACCAUUGAGUUGAUUCCUGCUUUAUAUUUUGUUUGUCUAGAAACAUAAAAUUUGCCACAUAUUUGAGAUCAUUGUCCAAAGUUUCCAUUUUCUUUCUUCUUUUAUAUCCUUAAAAAAGCAGAACUUUGAGAGUUAGCAUAAGGGAUACAGUUCUUUGUUCACUGUACAUACUAAACAUUAAUUGAUGUAAGUGUUAAUCUCAGUGUGACUCAUUUGAUUUCCUGUUGACAUGCCAUUUCUUGUCAGUUUUUGAAGAGGGCCUGCUCUUUUUACGGAGAAGAAAUAAAGCUGCUUGCCACUGGCUAGUUUCUGUUAUGUGGGGAAGAGAUGGUGCUUUUGUACCUUCCCUGAAGUAGUGGGUCCUUUUGAUAAUCUGAUAAAUUCUUUUGGAACAAUGCAAGUUAUGUUCACACUAAGAAUUUUGUGUCUUAAUUUUAUAAGCGUUCCAGCACUUUGUUUGUUUUGGUAAUUACAUUAGAAGAUUCUAUUCUCGGGUUGCCUAGGUGGCUCAGUCAGUUGAAUGCACAACUCUUGGUUUCAGCUCUGGUCAUGAUCUCAUAGUUUGUGAGUUCAAGCCCCACGUUGGGCUCUGCACUGACAGUGUGGAGCCUGCGUGGGAUUCAUUCUCUCUCUCUUUCUCAAAAUAAAUAAGUCAACUUAAAAAGAUUAUAUUCUCUAAUCAAGUUGGAUAACACUUGUUUUUUGUUUUGUUUUUUUUUUUUGAUUUUGGUUCUAAAGCUAGUUCUCUUAAAUUCUGUUAACAUUACUUUUAUUAAUCAUACUCCUCAAAUGCAUAUUUAAUAAUUAGCCAUUCUUUUUGAUGCAAGGAUAGAUUGAUAUAUGUUAUAGUGGAAUUAAAGCAAAGAGAUUAAAGGUUUUUUUGUUGUUGUUUUUUUGUUUUGUUUUGGGUUUUUUGUUUUUGUUUUUGAGAGAGGGAGCAUCAGGGAGGGGCAGAAAGAGAGAAUCCCAAACAAACUCUGCACAGUCAGUGCAAAGCCCAUUGCGGGGCUUGAAUGCAUGAGCUGUGAGAUCAUGACCUGAGCCGAAAUCAAGAGUCAGACACUUAACUGACUGACCAACCCAGAUGCCACUAAAGUGAAGAGAUUAAAUGAUCAGUAGUAGCAUAGUAAUAAAGCUGUUAACACUUUUGAGGUAAUUUUGAAAAACUUUUUUUUCCUUUGUAUAGCACAGAGAUACUCCUGAGAAUAACCCAGAUACUCCAUUUGAUUUCACACCAGAAAACUAUAAGGUAUGACAAAAUUAACAUUAUGAUUAAUUUACAAAAUAUUUAGUAUCUUCCAAAUGUAUGAAAACAGGUGCUUUUUCUUUGAUACAGAGGAUAGAGGCAAUUGUAGGAAACUAUCCAGAAGGACAUAAAGCAGCAGCUGUGCUUCCAGUCCUGGAUUUAGCCCAAAGACAGAAUGGAUGGCUGCCCAUCUCUGCCAUGAACAAGGUACUGAAUUCAUUUUUGCCUUAGUUUGAAAAGAGAAGAGACUGUGUAAGAAUUUCUUCCUUAUGUAGAAAUUCCUCUGAUGAUUAUUAGUGUCAGAAUCUAGGAGUUUGAAGCCUUUUUAAUCAUUUGUUUCCUCAAAUUUGUGGUUUUGUUGGUUCUCUUAAUAACAUGGAGAGCUUUUUAUCCUUGCAAGAAAUAGUAGAGGCAUUAUGGUCACAGUAGCUUUCUCUUUUUUCUCUUAAAUGACCAUAAUAAAGAUAAAAAGAUCCCACAUGUGUAUAAUUUGCUCUCAAGGUAUUCUGAAAAUCAAUGUAUUAAACACUAAAAUUGUAGAGAAAAAGAGAAAAAGAUCUGAUCUUUCAUACCUAAUAUGAAUCUUUUUAUUAGUUUUUAUCUUUGGCUGUAGGCUCUAAUAAAGAUUUAUAUCAGUGUUUAUGACAUCGUAUUUAUGACACUUGAUGGCACCCUAUGCUUAAUAAUCAGCAACUUACAAAAAUGCUAUGGGUGACCCAUUUAAAGGAAGUUAAUCUGUUCAUACAUAUUUUAAGAUUAAUUUUUUUCUGAUGAGCUGUUUCAACAGUUAUCCACAUUUUACACUUACACUGUAUUAAUUAAAUUUUUGUGGUAUUAUGCUACAGUGUAUAGUUUAUGAAGUACCAUACAAAAUCAUAUAUUAUUUGAUUCUUACGAGAAUCUCACAAAUAAUAAGCCAGUGUAAUAUAAUGGAAAGUAUAUUUGACUUCGAGCUAAGAGAUCUGACUUUUCUGUAGACUUACUUCCUUAUGUACAGUGAAGAUUUUGAACUAGGGUAGAUCUCUUUAAAUUAUUAUGUUAUGAUUCCUAAGUGAUAGAGUUGGGACUGAACAUUUCCAGUUCAUUGCAUUUUCUGCUUGACUGAGUAUUGGCAGAGAUUCUGCUAUACUUCAUUCCUCUUUUCACCUUCUAAAUUUUAUUUGGUCUAUUAGAAUAGACCAUUAUCAUCUUUCUUAGAGAACAGGAAUGUCUUCAGUGAUUUGUUGGAAUCCCAUAUGCAAAUUUUAGAUUCAGUUCAUAUUGCUUAUUUGCUUUGUACAGUACUCUAACAUGGUUAUGGACCUUUAGUUUUAUAUUUUUUUGUUUUUUUUGACUAUGAAAAAUGUUACAAAGCAAGUUUGGUUGGUACUGUACUUAGUAAAAUAUAGUCAGGUGGGUUUUUUCCCCAAUAAAUCACAUGCCUCUUUGGGUAUUUUUUAAAUUACUUAACACUGUUUUGUAUUAUAGCCAACAUUCUAAAUAAUGAUUUAGGUGUGUUUCUAACCAUAGAUGAUGCUUUUUUUUUUUUUGCAAAAAAUUCACAUUGUUAAAGAUUAUGUUUUUUCAAGUAAUCUCUACAUCACUGUGGGGCUCAAACUUAACCACCCUGAGAUCAAGACUUGCAUGUUCUACCAACUGAGCCUUCCAGGCACCCCCAAAAUUCACAUUUUUAAUAAUAGGAGUUGUGUUGGAAGUCUUGCUGAAUGGCAAGCUUAGCAGAGUAAAAUAAAUGAGAACUAAUGUGAGAACAUCUCACAAAUAUUGUCCUGUUCUAUUUAGAAUUGAAUGUGUAUGUGUGAGAGGCAGGAAAGUGUACAGAGGAUAGAAUCAAAUUCCAUUUUACAUUUGAGACUUUUAAUAUUGUUGUUUCUUUACUCUCUUACCCCCUAGCCCCCAAAGAAAAAGCCCAAUCUUAGAACCAAAACAAAAUCCAGAAGCUCACAUGUUAGUUCUUUAACCAUCACUAGAGUGUAGGGAGAUGCACAGCAGUCUUCCCAGGGGAGCUCUUUCAAGUUAGCAUCAGUGGUAGGGUUCCAGGAACACUGUGUAUUUUCAGGCUCUAGCAUGUGUGUUCUGAGAGAGCUCCCAGUUUCACAGGUACAUACCUGGUUUAGUAUCCCCAAAUUAAAUUUAGCACAGCUACUUAUCUUUCACUAGUGAGCCAUGAUUAUAUGUCUUUUGAGAAUACAUAUCCUUUAGAUUUUCUAAUAUGAGAAAGUUCAACAUAUUUGUCAUCUGAAAUGCUAUUUAACAAACUCCUCUUUCAUGUCAAAACAUGGAUAUAUGCGUAAUUUUUUUAAGAAUGCCAGAUGGCAAAUCUUAAGACCUGAUAGAUUAAAUGAUAUUAGAUCACCUGGAAAGUUGUAACCAGGAUGGUAGUCAUGACAGACUGUAUGUAGACUAUCCCUAGCAAACAACUAAAACAACCUUGUUUUCAUUAACAGACUUGCUCUGACCAAGAGAGUUGUGCUUAGACAAUGAAUCCCUUGGUCCUGAACCUCACUGUGUCAAUACAUAUUUGCUAAAUACCUUGAUGUGAAGAGUUGGGAAGUACUAGUCCAUAAGAUUUUUGUAAAGAGUGUCUUGAUUAGAAGUAGAAGUUGUGUUUUAGAUUUUCUGGAGACUUAACAUAUGUGUAUGUAUGUGAGCUUUGUGUGUAUAUAAGCGUGUAGAUAUAUAAAUCAAGAUAGGCUAAUAGGUGAGCUUUGAUUCUUGCCCUUUUUUGUGUUGCCAUACCAUUUGCAUGCAUUGUACAUCACUAGUAACAUCAAGACUUUUUGAAAAAAUUGGUGAAAAUAUAUAAGUUUAUAUAUAUAUAAGUUUCUUCUGCCUCAGAAGAACUUUCGUGUUUUUAGCAAAUUGAAGCAAUAGUGACUUUAUGUGCUUUACAACAUACCUAAGGUUCAAUUAAUAAACAUUGUAAUUAUACCAUCUUAAAAUUUCCUAAUAUUUUAGGUUGCGGAAGUUUUACAGGUACCUCCAAUGAGAGUAUAUGAAGUAGCAACUUUUUAUACGAUGUAUAAUCGAAAGCCAGUUGGAAAGUAUCACAUUCAGGUCUGCACUACUACACCUUGCAUGCUUCGAAACUCUGACAGCAUACUGGAGGUCAUCCAGAAAAAGCUUGGUAUGGGACACAUAACUUUAAUGAAAAAUAGAAUUGUCUUUCUAGAUUUGACCCAUUUCUACUUAAGUUUUCCAGUGUUUGCCAUCGUACUGGAUGUGUACUUUUCAUCAGUAAAUUUUUGUCUUACUGUGGUUGCCCACCUUUAUUUAUUCUUAUUUUAUAUUUUUCCUUAGUUCUCGGCCUCAAAGUUGAGUUUUCUUCUUUUCCUGUAAUCAUUAAGCAUGUUGGAAAAGCUUGUGGGGAGUUUAAAGUUUUCAUUGUUAAAAAUUAAAUUUCAGUCAUUGUGUAAUAAUAGCAUGUGGUACAUAAAAAAGUGACUGCAUUGUCCUUGUAUUCUUCCAAAUGAGUCUUGGAACAAAUAAGAUAAGAAAAUAGUAAGAAUGUCUUGAGAAGGGAAAUUUUUUUUUUUUUUUUAAUUUUUUUUUUUUUUCUUUCAACGUUUAUUUAUUUUUUGGGAAGGGAAAUUUGAAGUAUUUUCUGCUUGGAAGUACUUGAAGUAUUAUUAUGAUAGCAUUUACAAAAUUAAAAGGGCAUUUUUCCAUACAAAACUGCCAUUGCUGCAUUAAUAACUGAAAAUCAAAGGAAGUAAAAGGAGGGAUACUUUUAUCUUGUUACUGAAUAUAAAGUAACAGUUUAGUUACUUUAGUUGGGUUGUAUUGAAGUAUGUAACACAGAAAGCUGAAGUCUGCUCAAAAUCCCACCCUCUAAUGUACAAAUUCUACUGUACAAAUUCUUUUUUUUUUUUUUUAACGUUUAUUUAUUUUUUUGAGACAGAGAGAGACAGAGCAUGGACAGGGGAGGGGCAGAGAGAGAGGGAGACACAGAAUCUGAAACAGGCUCCAGGCUCUGAGCUGUCAGCACAGAGCCCGACGCGGGGCUCGAACUCACGGACCGUGAGAUCAUGACCUGAGCCGAAGUCGGACACUUAACCGACCAAGCCACCCAGGCGCCCCCUCUAAUGUACAAAUUCUGAUAAUAGUUGUGUAUAUUAGUUUUAGAUUUUGUUUUACUUAUUUUCAUUAUUAAAAACAUAAAUAUGUCUUUGUCUUUUGUACUUUAUUUUGGCUAUAACAUAUGUAUGUCUGCCUCAUUUCUCUAUUAUAAGUUAUUCUGCAAUUACUUUCAUGCAUACAUAUCUUUGCAUACUUGUCCUAUUAUAUAUACUGAGGUUGUUUACAAGAAGUAGAAUUGCUGGGUCAGAUUUUACUAUAUUUUGCCAAAAUGCCUUCCCUAAAGAUAUGAGAGUACCUGUUUUCCUUUUAGGUUUUUUUUGUUUUUGUUUUUGUUUUUGUUUUGAGACAGAGAGAGACAGAGCAUGAGUGGGGAGGGGCAGAGAGAGAGGGAGACACAGAAUCUGAAGCAGGCUCCAGGCUCUGAGCUGUCAGCACAAAGCCCGACGCAGGGCUCGAACUCACGACUUGAGCCGAAGUCGGAUGCUCAACCAACUGAGCCACCCAGGUGCCCCUCCUUUUAGUUGUAAUGGUCUUUGACAUUAGCAAUUUUCUGAGUCUUUGCCAAUCUGACAGUGUGACUGAUUUUGGUAGGUUAAUUAUCACAAUCAAAAUGAAAAUAAUAUAUUCUGAUACUCUGCUGUAUAACAACAGACAGUAGAGAUGAGUCCCCUGAAAUUUGAUUGUUUUUAAAGGAACAAGUCCAUUUAAAUCCUUGAAUGUUCUGGGGCGCUUGCGUGGCCCCGUCAAUUAAGCAUCCAAUAUCCGCUCAGGUCAUGAUCUCCUGGGUAACAGCUCGCUGGAAGCCUGUAGCCUGCUUCCUGCUUCAGAUUCUAUGUCUCCCUCUCUUUCUUCACUUCCCCCAGUCAUACUCUCUCUGUCUCAAAAAUAGACAUUAUAAAAAAGAUAAAAAAAAAAAAAAGAAAUCCUUGCAUAUUCUAGUAUAAUUAUAUAGAGUUGUUUUAAGAAACUUAAUGUUCUUAAAUACUUUUUGUAUGCCGCUGUAAUUUGUUGUUUUUUUAUUAAGCUAUAUUGCUAUUAAAGGGUAACCUGGUCCUUAACAGCAAUCAUUUAUAUUUUUAGGAAUAAAGGUUGGGGAGACGACACCUGAUAAACUUUUCACUCUUAUAGAGGUGGAAUGUUUAGGGGCCUGUGUAAAUGCACCAAUGGUUCAAAUAAAUGACAACUACUAUGUAAGUAUUCCAUUUAAUAUAAAUUAACGUUGUAUGAUACCAUAUUUUAAAUUUUAAGUAUUUGAUUUCCUAUCCUGUGGAUAUUAUUUUCUGAAUUAUUCAUUUAGAAGAAACUGGUGGCAUAAUUAUCCAGAAGGGUUUUUUUUUCUUUUUUUCCAAGUUUAUUAAAAAGCAAAGAAUAGAGGAGGCGCCUGGGUGGCUCAGUCAGUUAAGCGUCCAACUCGAUUUUGGCUCAGGUAAUGAGUCUCACACCAGGCAGAGCUUGGGAUUCUCUCUUUCCCUUUCUUUCUGCCCCUCACCUGCUCACACACUCUCUCUUUCUCAAAAUAAAUAAACAUGAAAAAAAACACAUCUUAAAAAAAAAGCAAAGACUAGAAAAACUUUGCACAAAAUAUGUCAGUUUUAACUUCCACAUUGUUGUCUACUAGAAGGUUCUUAAAAAUUAUUAUUUUUAAACAUUUUUGCAUUUAACUCUAGGAGAGAAUGCCAAAUUUUAAAAAAUUAUAAAUUAUGAAAAAUAAUUUACAUAGAAAUACAGAAAAUAACCACCAAAACAUAACAUAAUAUUUUACCACUCUAAUAUUAGGUACUAUUAUUUUUAUCCUCAUCAUUAUUAUUUGUAGAAAUAAGUUCCAGAUGCAGAUAAGCCACUCCUAAGCCCCCCAAAUCCUAUAUUCCCUUUCAUUCUGAGGUAACCAGUUUCAUAAAUUGUGUAUAUUUUUCCUGUACAUGUUUUUAAACUGUUUGAGUAAUGUAUCCAGCCAUACUAAUGUAUAAUACUAUAUUGCUUAUUUUUUUUUUAAUUUUUAAAAAUGUUUUAUUUAUUUUUGAAAGAGAAAGAGUGAGCGAGCAAGCAGGUGAGGGGCAGAGAGAGAGGGAGACACAGAAUCCGAAGGAGGCUCCAGGCUCUGAGCUGUCAGCACAAAGCCCAGCGUGGGGCUCAAGCUCACAAACUGUGAGAUCAUGACCUGAGCCGAAGUUGGACACUUAACCGACUGAGCCACCCAGGCGGCCCAAUACUAUAUUGCUUUUUAAAAAUUUUACAGAAAUGGUAUCAGACCUCUAAGUACUGCUGGAUCUCACAAGUUUUGAUAAGUAAUAUUUUUAUUAUUUAGUUCUAAAUAUUUUAAAAUAUAUGUUCUGAUUUCUUCUUGGGCCUGUGUCUUUUAGAAGUACAGUAUUAAUCUCCAUGUGGAAUUUUCUAGUUACCUUUUUAAAAGAUUGCUUGCUAUCUAAUUAUAUUUAAUGGUUUUCAUACAUAAUAUUUUGUUAGUUCCUACUUCUUAGAAACUUGUUAAUGGGAAUUCUUUUAGUCCUGCACUGAGUGAGUAUGGAUUCUUCAAGAAGGUAUUUGCCUUGGUUUUCUCUUGCUCCUAGAAAUUCUACUAUUGCAAAAGAAAGCUCCUCUGUAUACCCUCCACUAUUACCCAAAGUGUAAGGUUCUAGACUAGGAGUUCUUCUUGAGAGACAGUUUAAUUUCUAGUUUACCCUUGAGGGAAUAGCUUUUUAGGGUCUUAACUUUGUGUGGUUGACAUGUCUCUUGUGGCUUGGGGCUUUGUCUCUUGCCCCUCUGGACUGUGAAACCCUGAAGCCAAGUUUGCUUGGUGUUCCACUUGGCUGCCUGGGUUUUCACUGAGUUUUUGGCUCUGGGUAUUUCUUUCUUGUCAGCAUAUUGAUGACAUUUACAAUUUUUUGUUUUUUUAAUUUUAUCUAGCAUUUUUAGUUGUUACAGUUGGGGGGGUGGGUCAUUCAGGAUAGCUAAUCUGCUUUAGUCCCUGCAAUAGAAAUCUGCAAUUUUAUUUUUUAAUGGAGAUAAAAUUUGUUUAGAUUUCUAGAGUGGUCUCAUUCUCUAUUGUGAUUUUCUUCAUUUUAAUGAUCAGAGAUUCAAAUUUCUUACCUUCUUUAUCCCCUAUACUUAAAAAAAAGUCAUUGGAGUGCCUGGCUGGCUCAGUCAGAAGAGUGUGUGACUCCGGCUCUCAAAGUCGUGAGUUUGAGCCCCACAUGGGGUGUGGAAAUAGAUUAUUUAAAUAAAUAAAACUUAAAGUCCUUUAAAAAUAUGGCAACAGUUUUUCCUUCUCCCACAUUUCUGUAAUUUACUUAAAAUAAAGAGGAUCUUGAUUUGCAGGAAUCAGUCAAGGCUUUGUGUGAAGCACUCUAAGUUUAAAUAUAAUAGCCUGUGGGUUUAUCCAAAAGAUAAAGAUUCUUUCACUUAGUAGUGGUAUGGUCUUUGGCAAGAUAAAUUCUUUUUUUUUUUUUAAUUUUAAGUAGACUGCAUACCUGACGUGGGGCUUGAAGUCAUGACCCUGAGAUCAAGAGCUGCAUGCUUUGGGUAGCUAUGUUGGUUAAGUGUCUGACUCUUGGUUUCGGCUAAGGUCAUGAUCUUACCAUUGGUGGGUUCAAGCUGAAAGCAUGGAGACUGCUUGGUAUUCUCUCUCUCCCUCUCUUUCUCUUAAAAAUAAAUAAACAAAAUAAAACAAAAAAAUAACUGUAGGCUCUACCAACUGAGCCAGCCAGGUGCCCCCAGGGCAGUUAACUUUUCUGGAACUCGUUUGACUGGUGGAUAAAAUGAAAUAGUCACAUAAACUUUGAUUGGCUCCUGCUUAGGAAAAAAAACAGCUGUGAAGUACAUUUUGAGGAUAGUUGGGUAGAUUUUCAAUAUGGACUUGACAUUUGAUUAAAGAAUUAUUGUCAGUUAGGUGUGGUGACAUUGUGUUAUGUAGAAGAUGUUCUUAUUCUUAGAUGUCUGCUGAAGUAUCAAGAGUGAAAUGCCAUCAUGUUUGCAAUUGCUUUCAAAAUGGUGCAGCGCAAGGGUGCCUGGGUGGCUCAGUCAGUUAAGCAUCAGACUCUUGGUGUUGGCUUAGGUCAUUAUCUCACAGUUUGUAGGUUCGAGCCCCCCUUCAGGCUCUAUGCUGACAGCUUGGAGCCUGGAGUCUGCUUGGGAUUCUGUUUUUCCCUCUCUUUCUCUUUCUCUCUUCUUUCUUUCUCUCUCUUUCUCUCUCUCUCUGCCUCUCCCCCCCACUUGCUCACACUUGCAAGCUCUCUUUCUCUCAAAAUAAACAUUAAAAAAAAAUUUUUUUUAAUGCCAUCUUUAAAAAAAACCAAACACCUCAAAAUGGUGCAGCCCACAGCAGGUGGGGGGGGGGGCAGGUUAUGUGCAUUAAAAUGCAAAUAUGACAAAUUAAAAAUUGUUGAAUAUAGGUGGUAAGAAUAUGGGUAUUCAUGCAUAGUUUUCAAAUUUUCAUAAUAAAUAGUUGGGGGACAUAAAAUCAUUAGAUGAGUUAAAGAUUCCUUCUGGCUUUGAAGUUUUGAACAUUUGUUGAACCCUAAGCAAUUUGAAAGCAGUGUUUUAUUUUUAUAAAAGUUUAAUCAUUGAACAAAUAUUAAAGAACUUCGAUGUGGCUGGGCACUAGAGAUGCAGUACUGAAUCAUGAUUUCUCCAGCACAGUGUCAUAAAACAUUUUCCUAAGUAAUUAAACAGUUUUCCGGGGGGGUGGUGGGUGGUGGGAAUGGGAGUAUAGUUUAGGCAUUUCUCUUUAAUCUUUCCCAUUCUGUUUUGAGCGUCUUUUGGUUAAACCUAGGGUAUAGCUAGGCACAUGGGCAUAUGUGUCUAUGUGUUUUAAUUGUAUUUGUUAUUUUAUUAUUUAAAAUUUACACAGAUUUCAGUAGUAGGAAAUAAUUUUAAUAUGACUUUUAUUUAUUUAUUUUUUUAGGAGGAUCUGACACCUAAGGAUAUUGAAGAAAUUAUUGACGAGCUCAAAGCUGGCAAAAUUCCAAAACCUGGGCCAAGGUAUGCUUUUAUUUCUAUAAAAUAAAUUUUAAUGGCUUAACCUAAUGUAAACUUCAUUUAAAAAUUUUAUUCCAUGUGUUCAUAGGAGUUGUCAGGUGCUUUGGAUAGUAUCAAAACCAACUUGUCAUCUAAAACAAGUUUUGUUUUUUUUCCCCCCCUCUAAAACUCUAUCAGAUAAUCCUCUGGUAUCUACUUGAAUAUUUAGAGAGAAGGGAAAUUUACUAACAAAUAGAAAUCUAUUCCAUUGUAUCAGAAAACAAACUUUUCUUUUCCUUCCUCAAGUUAAUUUCUUGCAUAUAUAGUAUAAUGAAAGAGACUGCAGUGAUAGUAAUAACCAAAAUAUAGUUAUUCUUUAAAUUGACCAAAGCUGGCUAGUUCUUUUUUUAUUAGUAUUUUUAUAAUAAAGCUCUCUGCUCAGAUACAUAAAACAGGUGCUCAUUGUGAGUCAUUGAGUAACCAGAACAAUUAAACUGGUUCAACAGUACCUGAUUUUGGAGUACCAUUACCAGGUCUGCCCUAGCCAAAAUCAAUAAAAGAUUCAGGUCUGUAAGUGGUUUGGAACUGCUUUUUUAUAUUUUUAGUAAAUGAUCGCUAGAAAGGAAAUAUUAAACUGAUGGUAAGACAGUAUUUUGACAUUAAAUUUUUGUGCUAAGAUUGUUAUUUUCAUUUUUCUUAAAAAUUUUUUUAAUGUUUAUUCAUUUUUGAGAGAAAGAGAGUGUGAGAGUCAGGGAGGGGCAGAGAGAGAGGGAGACAUAGGAUCUGAAGCAGGCUCCAGGCUCUGAGCUGUCAGCAUAGAGCCCCAACACGGGGCUUGCACCCACAAACUGCGAGAUCAUGACCUGAGAUGAGGUUGGAUGCCACCCACGCGCUCUGUUAUUUUCAUUUUUCUUUAAGUACUGAAAAUAACUUCUAAACCUGCUCUCAAUUAUUAAUUACUAAUUAAGAUGGGGUGCCAGGUGGCUCAAUUGAUUAAGCAUUCGACUUCGGUUCAGGUCAUGGUUUCACAGUCUGUGAGUUCGAGCCCUGCGUUGGGGCUCUGUGCAGACAGCUCAAGAGACGAGCCUGCUCCACAUCCUGUGUCCCCCCGCCCCUCCUCCACUUGCACUCUGUUUCUCUAUCAAAAAUAAAUAAAAAAUUUUAAAAAAUAGAAAAAAAAUUACUAAUUAAGAGAAGUUGUUUUUUGGUAUGGGUUAGCUAAAAUUAAUUUUAAAUCCAGGGCGCCUGGGUGGCUCAGUCAGUUAAGCAUCCGACUUCAGUUCAGGUUAUGAUCUCGCAGUUUGUGAGUUCGAACCCCGCAUCGAUCGGGCUCUGUGCUGACAGCUUGGAGCCUGGAGCCUACUUCAGAUUCUGUUUCUCCCUCUUUCUCUGGCCUUUCCCCUCUUGAGCUCUGUCUCUCUCUCUCUCUCUCUCUCUCUCUCUCUCUCUCAAAAAUAAAUAAACAUUAAAAAAAAUUUUUAAUAAAAUUAAUUUUAAGUCCAAUUUGAAUUCUUCAUAGUUUUCUAAAGAUAUCUUAAAAUUUGCAGAAUUCUAUGGGAUGCAGAUAUUAUGAGAUGUAAAAAUAUAUAGGUAGGCUACAAUGCAUAUAUAAAAAAGCAUAGGUCAUUGCUGACAGAUAAGUCUAGAAUGUAAAGUCAUUUUUGUUGUUUUAAAAAAAUUUUUUUAAUGUUUUUAUUUAUUUUUGAGACAGAAAGAGACAGAGCAUGAGUGGGGAGGGGCAGAGAGAGAGGGAGACACAGAAUCCGAAGCAGGCUCCAGGUUCUGAGCUGUCAGCACAGAGCCUGACUUGGGGCCCGAACUCACGGACUGUAAGAUCAUGACCUGAGCUGAAGUUGGACGCUUAACUGACUGAGCCACCCAGGCGCCCCCAUUUUUGUUGUUUUAUACCAAAAGUAGUGGGCAUUGGUGGAUAUAUCUCAGCAUUAUUAAAAAGAUAAGCAUUAAACUUUCAUUAAGUACCUUUUCUUUAAAAAGUACCUUUUUAAAAAAAAUGUUUAUUUUUGAGAGAGAGAGCACAAGCGGGGGAGGGGCAGAGAGAAAGGGAGUCAGAGGAUCCAAAGCAGGUCCCAGGCUGACAGCAGAGAGCCUGAUGUGGGGCUCAAACCCACAACUUGAGGUGAAGUCGGACACUAAAGCAGCUGAGCCAUCCAGGAGCCCCUAAAAAGUACUUUUAAGCCAUAAACAAUGUACAGAAAGGUCAAGUUUUCUAGAAGAUAAAUGAGUUUAAAAUGAUGAAUUACAAAUCGUGUUGGGAUGGCUGAAAAACCAGAUUUACCUUUUAAGUUGUAAUGAGAACAAAGUAAUUAAUAGAUGGCAUUUUAAGUAUAAUGCAUAAAGCAGAUGUUUUUUUUAUGAAGUGAAAGCCCUAAAGAUAUCUUAAGUGUAAAUCGUGAAUGGAAGGGCUAGAUUGCUGCCUGUCUGGUGUUCUGAGGCAUAUUUACAGAUAAAAUGAGGGGAGAGAUGAGAUUAGUAGAUUAAAGACAAUUUGUGGGCUUUACCAGAGGUUGUAACAGCCUUGAUAGCGUAUUUUUUGUGCAUUUUGUGAAGGGUGAGGGAAGGAGAAAGUUGGCAGGUAUAACAGACCAUUGAAACCUUUUCUCCCCCUUAAGUAUGUCAUAGGACUAUAAUUUACGGAACAACUAGGAAAAUGGACCAGAUUACUCUUGAAAUUACUUUCUUAUAUAAAAAUCCAUAAUUUCUUGAAGAGUUCAGACAGUGUGCAUGAUUAAUUCUCUCAUUUAUUGUUCUCAAAAACCUCAGUUUUUAUAAUCUUCCUAAUUGGUCCUUUGUGUUGGUAAAGAAGGUAGAUGAGCUUAAACCGUAGAGGGGACUUAGUAAAGGGAAGAAAGUUUUCCAGAAUAAUUAUUUCAUUGGCAGUUAAAGAGCAGCAGGUAUACCUGUGUUACUAGUUAACGUAAAAAAUUUACAAAGCCAAAUACUGUUUUUUAUUAAAGUUUGAUCUCAUUUUGCCACUUACCCUACAUUAGUUUUAGGUUCUGUCAGUUCACAGUGAUGUUUUGUUUUUAUGUUUAUUUAUUUAUUUUGAGAGAGAGGCACGAAUGGGGGAAGGGCAGAGGGAGAGGGAGAGAGAGAAUCCCAAGCUGGUUCUGUGCACUGUCAGCAGAGAGACCAACAUGGGGCCCGAUCUCAUGAACUGUGAGAUUAUGACCUGAGCCUAAAUCAAGAAUUGAACACUUAACUGACUGAGCCACUCACACGACCCAAUAGUGACUGUUUUUUUAUCUCAUUUUCACAGUGAACUUGUAAUGCAAAUAAUACUUAAUUUCUGACUUUGUAGGCACUCUUCAUUACAAUAUACUACUUAGUUACUUGCACUGUGUAAUGUAAUAUCUUAAAAGAUCAUAACAUUAUUAACGUGGUAUCAUUGUCCUGUCCCCUGAACAAAAAAUAAUUUCCUGUGGCUGUAAAAAGACCCUUGUAAGAUUGAUGACAGAAUUUAAAGGGCAAAGCAAGGAGUAAAAAGAUAUAAAUUGAACAGUUCUUUAGCUAAAAUAUAUGGCAGGAACAAGGUAAAUUGACAAAGCUAGGGAAUAGGAAGGGUGAAGUAGGAGGAGGUGCUGAGCUGGGCUCUAGCAGUGGAGGUCAGACAGGGGCAGAGUUGAGUGAUUACUUGCGAAAGUAUGUGUGGGGGUGAAAAAAAGACAGGUUCUUCUACCUCUGUGCUGCAUUAAGGACCUGUUCUUGUUUUCUUUGUGGCUGUGGUAGCCACCCUAGUCUGGAACCUGUUUUUGAAAAGUUACUACUACUGAUAGAGCUUUUAAAAACAUGAAUAGAAAUAUACUUUGUUUUCACUGCCCCUAAAGGAUACCCUCCUAAAUCUUCAGAUUCCCAUUUCCUUCCAAUUCCUCUGUUGACUUCCAAACAUAUGUAUAAAUUUGUUUUCCCUUCUGUUCACUAUGGUAGAUCUCAAUUUAAAAUAAAAUUCAGUUUAAAUAAAAUUCAAAUAUAAAAAGAAUAAAAUGUCCUCUGGGUUUGUUAUGUUGCAGUUCUUAGCUCUGAUCCUUGGGCAGAUGCUGAUCUCCUCUAAGCCUUGGUUUCUAUGUCUGUAAAAUAAGGCCAGUAUCAUUUGACUCAUGGCAUUGUUCUAAAGAUUAAAUGAGCUAAUAAUACAUGUACGCUCUUCAAUAAAUGGGAACUACUAGUAAUGUGUUACUUUUAUAUCUUUCAUAUUUAUAGUGAGUUUUGGAUAUGUCCAUUUUCAUACUUAAGUUUAGAAAAUCUUGCAGCAGUUGAAAUGUUUGAAUUAAAUAAUCCAUGCUAAUUCUUGGGUGAAAAAUAGUUACCUAACUGGGCUUUGUAAGGUAACAGUUAUUUUCUUAAGUAAAGAUUUAUAAAUGGUAGUUAUUAAUAGUCAACUUAAUGUUACUUUUCUUUUCAGGAGUGGACGCUUCUCUUGUGAGCCAGCUGGAGGUCUUACCUCUUUGACUGAACCACCCAAAGGACCUGGCUUUGGUGUGCAAGCAGGACUUUAAUUUAUAUUCAACUGUAAAUAUGUUCCAGGAGGAAUAAAACAUGAAUCU
Molecule: long non-coding RNA, 30779 nt
Filed under: Lynx pardinus (Iberian lynx)
Lineage: Eukaryota; Metazoa; Chordata; Mammalia; Carnivora; Felidae
Source: RNAcentral